This is a long non-coding RNA of Pseudopipra pipra, 815 nucleotides long. RefSeq lists it as uncharacterized. Lineage: Eukaryota; Metazoa; Chordata; Aves; Passeriformes; Pipridae. The record is from RefSeq and is a predicted model, not a curated record. The transcript has 2 exons.
GUGUAAUAAUAAUUCCAAAUGUACUCAGCAAGUUGCAAACUUCACAGGGGCACCUGUAGAAGUGUGAACUGUUCAACCUGCACAGUCCUGACCUGUUUAAGGACUAUGAAUGCUGGCCAGCCACUCUUUGUGUGGGGAUGUUUUUUCCUGAUCCUUGCCAGUAACCGGACACCUGAAUACCAGGGCUUAAAAAGAAUCAGGAACCAGGGUAGUAAAAGUGAAACUGUAACUCCAGCACAACAGAGGAGUGUCUGACACAUGUUGCAGGUCAUUGAGGCAACUUGGUUUUGCUGAGCCCUGGCUGAAGAAGUCACUGCUCCACAGGAAACAGUGUGUGAAGGAGAAGCUGAUCCCUCUGGAAAUGGAGCAUCCUCUCAGCUUUGCUGCAGUCCAGCCAUGAACUGCCAGGGCAGUGAAGAAUUCAGGCAUGUGGAACUGGGAGUGACACAACAAAUAACUGAAAAGGCCAACUCUGAAUGUCCAGAAACUUUGAGGCUGGGAAGGAAAAACCCAUUCUCUUCUAAAAAAGAUCCUCCCUUCAGACUGUCCUUUUCUACCUUUGCAAGGCGUGGAGACACUUGGAAUUGAAUCAAUGUCUCAGUUACAUGCUCUAAAGACCACGUCAAUUCUGCUCUGGAAUACUUAUUUCAAACAAUAUCAUCAAAAAUCCUGACUGAAGGAUGAAUUGGACCUUUAAAGCUCUGCUUGUUUCACAAUGAAUGUCACUGUAGUAAAGCCAAAAUUGGCAGUUCAAGGGAAAAAUGAAAGCAAGGCUCCAGACUCCGAGGAUCCUGGAAGCUCCAGCAGCCUGAACA